This 414-nucleotide ribosomal RNA is filed under the name uncultured microorganism. RNAcentral describes it as "bacterial SSU rRNA". It matches the Rfam family "Archaeal small subunit ribosomal RNA", at positions 459 to 872 of the family's 1478-position model. The record is from RNAcentral.
CAGCCGCCGCGGUAAUACCGGCGGCCCGAGUGGCGGUCACUAUUAUUGGGCUUAAAGCGUCCGUAGCCGGGUUGGGAAGUCCUCCGGGAAAUCUGGCCGCUUAACGGUCAGAAUGCCGGAGGAUACUCCCAGCCUAGGGAGCGGGGGAGGCCGAGGGGAUUCCCGGAGUAGGGGUGAAAUCCUAUAAUCCCGGGAGGACCACCUGUGGCGAAGGCGCUCGGCGGGAACGCGUCCGACGGUGAGGGACGAAGGCCAGGGGAGCAAACCGGAUUAGAUACCCGGGUAGUCCUGGCUGUAAACGAUGCGGACUUUGUGUCGGACAAGCUAUGAGCUUGUCCGGUGCCGGAGGGAAACCGUUAAGUCCGCCGCCUGGGGAGUACGGCCGCAAGGCUGAAACUUAAAGGAAUUGGCGGG